GAUGAACGCUGGCGGCGUGCCUAACACAUGCAAGUCGAACGAAGCUUGACGGAUGAUUUCUUCGGAAUGAAACCAGAUAUGACUUAGUGGCGGACGGGUGAGUAACACGUGAGCAACCUGCCUUUCAGAGGGGGAUAACGGCGGGAAACGGUCGCUAAUACCGCAUGAUGUGUUCGGAUGGCAUCAUCUGAACAUCAAAGAUUUAUCGCUGAAAGAUGGGCUCGCGUCUGAUUAGAUAGUUGGUGGGGUAACGGCCUACCAAGUCUACGAUCAGUAGCCGGACUGCGAGGUUGAACGGCCACAUUGGGACUGAGAUACGACCCAGCCUCCUACGGGAGGCAGCAGUGGUGAAUAUUGCACAAUGGGGGAAACACUGAUGCAGCAACGCCGCGUGAAGGAUGACGGUUUUCGGAUUGUAAACUUCUUUUCUUAGUGACGAAGACAGUGACGGUAGCUAAGGAAUAAGCAUCGGCUAACUACGUG
This 483-nucleotide ribosomal RNA is filed under the name uncultured bacterium. RNAcentral's name for it is "partial 16S ribosomal RNA". It matches the Rfam family "Bacterial small subunit ribosomal RNA", at positions 28 to 507 of the family's 1533-position model. The record is from RNAcentral.